CCACAUCCAAGGAAGGCAGCAGGCACGCAAAUUACCCACUCCCGGCACGGGGAGGUAGUGACAAAAAAUAACGAUACGGGACUCUAUUGAGGCCCCGUAAUCGGAAUGAGUACACUUUAAAUCCUUUAACAAGGAUCCAUUGGAGGGCAAGUCUGGUGCCAGCAGCCGCGGUAAUUCCAGCUCCAAUAGCGUAUAUUAAAGUUGUUGCGGUUAAAAAGCUCGUAGUUGGUUCUGCGUGCCGCGCUGUCGGUUCGCCGCCUGUCGGUGUAACUGGCAUGUCGCGGCAUGUCCUGUCGGUGGUGAACGAUAUUCCUCGACGCAAGCUGAGGCUUAACUGCCAAAGAUUGUGCCGUGUGUAAUGUCGUUUGCCGAUUUCUCCUACUCCGGUGCUCUUAAACGAGUGUCGAAGUAGGCCGACACGUUCACUUUGAACAAAUUAGAGUGCUUAAAGCAGGCUAAAAUAUCUGCCUGAAUAGUGGUGCAUGGAAUGAUAAAAUAGGACCUCGGUUCUAUUUUGUUGGUUUUAGGAAUAUGAGGUAAUGAUCAAUGUGGACUGGCGGGGGCAUUCGUAUUGCGACG
This 579-nucleotide ribosomal RNA is filed under the name Gardena americana. RNAcentral's name for it is "SSU rRNA". It matches the Rfam family "Eukaryotic small subunit ribosomal RNA", at positions 410 to 904 of the family's 1831-position model. Lineage: Eukaryota; Metazoa; Arthropoda; Insecta; Hemiptera; Reduviidae. The record is from RNAcentral.